This 253-nucleotide ribosomal RNA is filed under the name uncultured bacterium. RNAcentral describes it as "partial 16S ribosomal RNA". It matches the Rfam family "Bacterial small subunit ribosomal RNA", at positions 524 to 776 of the family's 1533-position model. The record is from RNAcentral.
UACGAAGGGGGCUAGCGUUGUUCGGAAUUACUGGGCGUAAAGCGCACGUAGGCGGACUAUUAAGUCAGGAGUGAAAUCCCGGGGCUCAACCCCGGAACUGCCUUUGAUACUGGUAGUCUCGAGUCCGGAAGAGGUGAGUGGAAUUCCGAGUGUAGAGGUGAAAUUCGUAGAUAUUCGGAGGAACACCAGUGGCGAAGGCGGCUCACUGGUCCGGUACUGACGCUGAGGUGCGAAAGCGUGGGGAGCAAACAGG